AGUUUGAUCCUGGCUCAGAUUGAACGCUUUCGGCAUGCCUUACACAUGCAAGUCGAACGGCAGCACGGAGCUUGCUCUGGUGGCGAGUGGCGAACGGGUGAGUAAUAUAUCGGAACGUACCCUGGAGUGGGGGAUAACGUAGCGAAAGUUACGCUAAUACCGCAUACGAUCUACGGAUGAAAGUGGGGGAUGCGCAAGCACCUCAUGCUCGUGGAGCGGCCGAUAUCUGAUUAGCUAGUUGGUAGGGUAAAAGCCUACCAAGGCAUCGAUCAGUAGCUGGUCUGAGAGGACGACCAGCCACACUGGAACUGAGACACGGUCCAGACUCCUACGGGAGGCAGCAGUGGGGAAUUUUGGACAAUGGGCGCAAGCCUGAUCCAGCAAUGCCGCGUGAGUGAAGAAGGCCUUCGGGUUGUAAAGCUCUUUUGUCAGGGAAGAAACGGUGGAGGCUAAUAUCCUCUGCUAAUGACGGUACCUGAAGAAUAAGCACCGGCUAACUACGUGCCAGCAGCCGCGGUAAUACGUAGGGUGCAAGCGUUAAUCGGAAUUACUGGGCGUAAAGCGUGCGCAGGCGGUUUUGUAAGUCUGAUGUGAAAUCCCCGGGCUCAACCUGGGAAUUGCAUUGGAGACUGCAAGGCUAGAAUCUGGCAGAGGGGGGUAGAAUUCCACGUGUAGCAGUGAAAUGCGUAGAUAUGUGGAGGAACACCGAUGGCGAAGGCAGCCCCCUGGGUCAAGAUUGACGCUCAUGCACGAAAGCGUGGGGAGCAAAAAGGAUUAGAUACCCUGGUAGUCCACGCCCUA
Molecule: ribosomal RNA, 801 nt
Filed under: uncultured bacterium
Lineage: Bacteria
Description: bacterial SSU rRNA
Rfam family: Bacterial small subunit ribosomal RNA
Source: RNAcentral